AUGACAAUGAGGAAUUUCUCUAUCUCACCUUUAUACCCUCAGAGCCUAGAAGAGUCCCUGGUACUAGCUGCUCUCUGUUUCUUGAGGGUGAAUUGUGAAAACUGUAUGACAAGUGUCCUCAACCCCCAGGCCACACAGCAGGAGGUGAAUGGCAGGUGAGCAUAAAAAACUUCAUCGGUAUUUACAGCUGCUCCCUAUCGCAUGUGUUACUGCCUGAGCUCCAC
This 224-nucleotide long non-coding RNA is filed under the name Callithrix jacchus (white-tufted-ear marmoset). RNAcentral's name for it is "lncRNA (ENSCJAG00000070143.1)". Lineage: Eukaryota; Metazoa; Chordata; Mammalia; Primates; Cebidae. The record is from RNAcentral.